Molecule: ribosomal RNA, 332 nt
Filed under: uncultured bacterium
Lineage: Bacteria
Description: bacterial SSU rRNA
Rfam family: Bacterial small subunit ribosomal RNA
Source: RNAcentral
CGUGCAGGCGGUUUGGUAAGUUGGAUGUGAAAGCUCCCGGCUCAACUGGGAGAGGUCGUUCAAUACUACCAGACUUGAGAGUGGUAGAGGGAGGUGGAAUUCCCGGUGUAGUGGUGAAAUGCGUAGAUAUCGGGAGGAACACCAGUGGCGAAAGCGGCCUCCUGGACCAUUUCUGACGCUCAGACGCGAAAGCUAGGGGAGCAAACGGGAUUAGAGACCCCGGUAGUCCUAGCUGUAAACGAUGUGAACUUGGCGUCGGUGGUGUAAAAACCAUCGGUGCCGCAGCCAACGCGAUAAGUUCACCGCCUGGGGACUACGGCCGCAAGGUUAAA